This 254-nucleotide ribosomal RNA is filed under the name uncultured bacterium. Its description in RNAcentral is "partial 16S ribosomal RNA". It matches the Rfam family "Bacterial small subunit ribosomal RNA", at positions 524 to 776 of the family's 1533-position model. The record is from RNAcentral.
GACGAACCGUGCGAACGUUAUUCGGAAUCACUGGGCUUAAAGCGCGUGUAGGCGGAUGGGGACGUCGGUCGCUGAAAGCCCCCGGCUCAACCGGGGAAUGGGCGCCGAAACGCCCCGUCUGGAGGGACGUAGGGGGACCUGGAACUUCCGGUGGAGCGGUGAAAUGCGUUGAGAUCGGAAGGAACGCCCGUGGCGAAAGCGAGGUCCUGGACGUCAUCUGACGCUGAGACGCGAAAGCUAGGGGAGCGAACGGG